GGAAUGUGGCUCAAGUGGUAGAGUGUUCGCCUGGCAUGCUUUCGGCCUGGGUUCGAUCCUCAGCACCA
This 68-nucleotide transfer RNA is filed under the name Marmota monax (woodchuck). RNAcentral's name for it is "tRNA.Ala". Lineage: Eukaryota; Metazoa; Chordata; Mammalia; Rodentia; Sciuridae. The record is from RNAcentral.